AGUAACGACGUGAGGAACCUGCCGUUCCAGAGGGGGACGAACAGUUGGUAAACGAACUGCUAAUACCGCAUGAUGUGUUUCGAUGGCAUCAUCGAGACACCAAAGAUUUAUCGCUGGAAGAUGGCCUCGCGUCUGAUUAGCUAGUAGGCGGGGUAACAGCCCACCAAGGCGACGAUCAGUAGCCGGCCUGAGAGGGUGAACGGCCACAUUGGGACUGAGACACGGCCCAAACUCCUACGGGAGGCAGCAG
RNAcentral lists this ribosomal RNA (250 nucleotides) under uncultured bacterium. RNAcentral describes it as "partial 16S ribosomal RNA". It matches the Rfam family "Bacterial small subunit ribosomal RNA", at positions 109 to 354 of the family's 1533-position model. The record is from RNAcentral.